GCUGCCGUAGCUCAGUGGUAGAGCACUCCCUUGGUAAGGGAGAGGUCGUGAGUUCAAUCCUCCCCGGCAGCACCA
RNAcentral lists this transfer RNA (75 nucleotides) under Bradyrhizobium sp. Its description in RNAcentral is "tRNA-Thr". It matches the Rfam family "tRNA". From Rfam's summary of the family: Transfer RNA (tRNA) molecules are approximately 80 nucleotides in length. Their secondary structure includes four short double-helical elements and three loops (D, anti-codon, and T loops). The record is from RNAcentral. RNAcentral also lists the same sequence under 12 other names. Lineage: Bacteria; Pseudomonadati; Pseudomonadota; Alphaproteobacteria; Hyphomicrobiales; Nitrobacteraceae.